Molecule: RNA transcript, 6933 nt
Organism: Capsicum annuum
Lineage: Eukaryota; Viridiplantae; Streptophyta; Magnoliopsida; Solanales; Solanaceae
Gene name: probable LRR receptor-like serine/threonine-protein kinase At3g47570
Exons: 5
Source: RefSeq, a predicted model, not a curated record
UAGUAUUGAUGUGACAUGUUGAAUAAAUCAUGAAAACCAAAAGGGAGACCUCAUUGCAAUUUAAAGUUUCAAAACCACAAGGUACUAGCCAUACUAAUUUCCUACUAAUAUUUGUACUUAUGGAGAAAGCCUUCAGUUCUUUUUUCUUAAUAAUAUUCUUGUUGCGUCACUAUGUUAUGGCUAGUUUGGCCAUGACCCAAACCAACAUUACCACUGAUCAAUUGGCUCUUCUGUCUUUGAAAUCCCAAAUCAUUUCAGACCCCUUUCACUUCUUGGAUGAAAGUUGGUCUCCAGCUAGGUCUGUUUGUCAUUGGGUUGGAGUCACUUGUGGCUUCCGCCGCCAGCGAGUGAAGUCAUUAAAUCUUUCCAAUAUGGCUCUUAUUAGCAAGAUUCCCCGUGAUUUUGGUAACCUAACAUUUCUUACUUCUAUUGACUUGGGAAGCAACAAUUUCCUUGGAAAUUUGCCUCAGGAAAUGGCACGUUUGCAUCGGCUUAAGUUUCUUGAUGUAAGUUUCAACAACUUCAGUGGGGAGGUUCCCUCUUGGUUUGGGUUUUUACACCAACUUCAAGUUUUAAAUCUUGGAAAUAAUAGUUUCACUGGUUCCAUCCCUUCUUCAUUUUCUAAUGUUUCCACACUUGAGACUUUGAAUCUGAAAUUCAAUUCCAUAGAAGGCCAAAUUCCGGACGUGAUUGGAAGUCUUACAAACCUUAGAGUAUUAAGCUUGCAGGGUAACAAGCUCAUAGGUUUUAUUCCUCUGUCACUCUCAAAUUUCUCAAGGUUGGAGACUUUAGAAUUAUCUGAAAACUCACUUCAAGGAAAUAUUCCAGAAGAAAUUGGCAAUCUUUACAACCUUAACAUGUUGGGCGUAGAAUUCAAUCAGCUUACAGGUUCUAUACCACUGUCAAUUUUCAACAUUUCUAGAAUCGAAGUCAUUGCAUUUACAAGCAAUAGGUUAUCAGGAAAUCUUCCCAAUGGUUUAUGCUAUGGUCUCCCACUACUCAAAGAGCUUUAUCUAUCUGAUAACAAGCUUCAUGGUCAUAUGCCAACAAGCAUGUCAAAUUGUUCACAACUUCAAGUAUUGUCUUUAUCAAAAAAUGAGUUUGAUGGACCAAUACAUAGUGAAAUUGGAAGAUUGAGUAACUUGCAGAUAUUGCAUCUUGGAAAUAACCUUUACACAGGAGUAAUUCCAAAUGAAAUUGGGAAUCUUGUUAAACUGGUGGAGUUAGGCAUGGCGGAAAACCAGAUUAUGGGCUCUGUGCCGAUCUCCUUGUUCAAUAACACUUCACUGCAAACCUUAAAUCUAUGGGGCAACAAUCUUAGUGGAUCCUUACCGGGGGAGAUUGGCAACUUAACCAAGAUGCAAUUUUCAUAUCUUGACAAAAAUAAGUUUACUGGUGAAAUACCCAAAGAGAUGAGCAAUCUCAUUGAGUUGAAGGUACUUAAUCUUCAGAGUAAUGGAUUUAGUGGUCCGCUUGAUAUGAGAAUCUUCAACAUAUCAGGGCUGAGAACAAUUUCCCUUUCAGCCAACAAUCUAUCAGGAACCUUCCCACCAAACAUAUGUUCUAUCAUACCCAACAUUGAAGGGCUUUAUCUGCGCAACUUAACCAAUCUUGUUGGGACUAUACCUCAUUCAAUCUCCAAUUGUUCAAAACUUACUUUACUAGAGCUUUCAGACAACAAACUCACUGGCUUGAUUCCCAAUUCUCUGGGAUAUUUGACUCAUCUGCAGUUCCUAAACUUGGAGGGAAACAACUUAACCAGUGAUUCAUCGUUAAGCUUCCUCACUUCCUUAACGAAUUGCAGAAAUUUGACAAAUCUUGCUAUAUCUUUGAACCCUCUAUAUGGCAUGCUUCCGGCCUCAGUAGGUAACCUUUCCACAUCUCUUUUAAGAUUUUAUGCCAAAAGUUGCAAAAUCAAAGGGCGAAUUCCAAAUGAAAUUGGGAACUUAAGCAGCUUAUUUUUCCUUGUUCUUUCUGGAAACAACUUGGUUGGAUCAAUUCCCACAACAAUUGGCAACUUGAGAAACCUUCAACGCUUCAACUUUAGUAACAACAAACUUACAGGAUUUAUUGGGGAUCAUAUAUGUAAAUUGCAGGAUUUGGGUGAUAUUUACUUGGGUCAAAAUCAACUUUCAGGAUCUCUUCCUAACUGUUUAGGGAAUAUUACUUCCCUUAGGGAGAUAUAUCUCGGUUCCAACAAAUUGAGUUCCAACAUACCACCAAGCUUGGGGAAGCUUCAAGAUCUAGUGGUUCUUGACUUAUCGUCAAACAACAUGGUAGGUUCUUUACCUCCAGAAAUUGGAAAUCUAAAGGCUGCGACGCUUAUAGAUCUAUCAAUGAAUCAAUUCUCAAAUGAAAUUCCUAGAGAAAUUGGAGGAUUGCGAACUCUGGUGCACCUUUCUCUGAAACAUAAUAAAUUGCAAGGAUCUAUACCUGACUCAAUGAGCAACAUGGUAGGUUUGGAAUUCCUAGACCUUUCUCACAAUAAUAUAUCGGGUAUCAUUCCUACGUCUAUGGAGAAACUACAAAACCUAAAGUAUUUCAAUGUUUCUGUCAACAAGUUGUAUGGAGAAAUACCCUUGAGGGGUCCUUUCAAGAACCUCCCGAGUCAGUUUUUCAUGUACAAUGAAGCAUUGUGUGGUUCUUCAAGGUUUAGUGUCCCUCCAUGCCCCACUUCAUCAAAGCACAGUUCAAAUAGGAAAAAAUUUCUAGUUCUGUUUCUUUUGCUUGGAUUUAUACUUUUAUUUGUUCCUAUCACCUUUGUGUUUGUAUGGUUAAAGUAUAGAAGAGGUAAAAGAGAUCCUCCACAAGCUAAGUCAUUGUCUACCGUAACAAGAGAAAGAAUUUCAUACUAUGAACUGCUCCAAGCAACUGAUGCACUUAGUGAGAGUAAUUUGAUUGGUUCUGGAAGUUUUGGCUCUGUGUACAAAGGCACUCUCACAAGUGGGACUCUGGUUGCAGUUAAAGUGUUUAAUUUAAAAUUGGAAACGGCAUUCAAGAGUUUUGAUACAGAAUGUGAAGUUUUGCGCAACCUUCGUCAUAGGAAUCUUGUUAAAGUCAUCACUAGUUGUUCUAACCUUGAUUUUAAGGCUUUAGUGCUCCAGUAUAUGCCAAAUGGUAGUCUUGAGAAGUAUUUGUAUUCAUACAACUACUUCCUCGACAUUAGACAAAGACUAAGCAUAAUGAUAGAUGUGGCAUGUGCAUUGGAAUAUCUCCAUCAUGGGUGUUCGUCGGCUGUGAUUCACUGUGAUCUAAAGCCUAGUAAUGUCUUGCUGGAUGAGGAUAUGGUUGCCCACCUAAGCGACUUUGGCAUUUCAAAACUACUUGGUGAAGAUGAGAGUGAUUUAUACACUAAAACCUUAGCAACACUUGGUUAUAUUGCUCCGGAGUAUGGACUGGAUGGACUAGUGUCAACAAAGUGCGAUGUCUAUAGUUAUGGGGUCAUGUUGCUGGAAACGUUUACUAGGAGAAAGCCUAAUGAGUUUGAGGGAGAUCUUAGCUUGAAGCAAUGGGUGAGUUAUUCACUUCCAGAUGCUGUAAUGGACGUCGUAGAUGCUAACUUGGUAACACCAAUGGGUAAAGGCUUACAGAAGGAGCUAGAUGUUGUGGCAUCAAUCAUGAAAGUUGCAUUAGAUUGUUGUAAUGAAUCUCCAACAAGAAGGACCAAUAUGAAAGAUGUUGUAGGGAUGCUACAAAAGAUCAAGAUUCAACUUCUAGCAUGUUGAGCAUGUUCUUGGAAUUUGUUGUUCCAAAUAAUUUGUUUGUUGCAAAUAUUUGAUAAGGGAGACUGCUCAUCUGGACUUUACGUCGUGCAGCCUUUUGACAGAACUUCACACAACUGAGGUCCGGGGAGGGUAGAGUGUACGCAGACCUUACCCCUACCUUGAGAGGUUGAGAUGUUGUUCCCGAUAGAUCCUCGGCUCAAGGAAAAAUAAAAGAAAUUCAAUGCAGGUCGGGGGUAAACAAAUUAGCAGGAGCGAAAAACAAUUGCAGAAAUUAAAAGACCAUUUUAAAGAGAACUUUAUAAUGCACGGAACAAAACAUAUAUAGAUCCUACAGUAUUUGUACAUUUCCAUGCCUCUUAAUAGUGACAAUGUUCCAUAUAUAGAUCCUACAGUAUUUGUACAUUUCCAUGCCUCAUAAUAGUGACAAACUUGAAAAGUCGAAGGAAGAGGGAUGAAGCAGGUAAAUACUUAAAGCAAAAUCUAGCAGGAUUAUGCUCACAGUUCUUCUGAAGACUUAGUUCUUGCUUUCUAAUCAUUUAUGCUCCUAUUCUGACAUUUUGAGAUGGAAGUCUGUUGUUCUUGGUUUUGUUACUUUUUGUAGUAGCUAAUUCUUCUUCUAUACACAGUUUCACUGACAAUACACAGUCUUAUAUCAUUAUUCUCACAAGCAGGAUGCUAGCUUAGUCGUCCCUUUGCACAUCUCCAUUAAAUCUUUAGGAAGCAUCUGCCUCCUCAUAAACGACCCAAGAUAUUCGUAAUGAUUGUUGUACAAGUGUGGCAUCUUUAGACAAAAAGUUUUAUCUUUCAGGAUUGAUCAAUGUAUUAUCACUUUUCACCUGUUGUAUUUCCAAUCGAAAUGUCUUAUGGACUGUUUCCUAAGGCAUAAUUGUUGAGAUUAUCAUAACAAGUUAGUUAGAACCAGUGAAAGUAAUUAUCUGUAGUUAACAGUUAUUACUGUUCCAUCGCCUUAGUUACUGUUACACUGCUUACUUGUACAACUGGUUAGUUAGUUGGUUGUAACAACUUGCAAGCGAAGGGAGUGAUAAUUAGGAAGCUUCUAGAUGAUUCUAGAGACUUUGUACAAUUCUAUAAAUAGCUCCUAAGUCACUUAGAAGAGAUUAAUUGUAACUGUUUUCUUCUCAGUUCAUAUCAAUGAAAUUCUCUGCUUUCUUUUUCUUCCCUUAUCUGUUAUUUUUCAGCUAUGAGAUGGUGUGUAUGUUACUACUAUAUUUUGACAUGAUAUCAGAGCCACAGGUUAUCGUGGUUCAAGAGCAUCAUUGAUCUCUAGCUGAGGUGAUUUAAGAUCCCUAAAUUGAUGGCUGCAGCAUUGAAGGUUAGAUCUCUGUUUGAAGCAUAAUUUUGAGUUGUUUUUUUUUGGCAAUUGUAUUGAUUACUCAGAUCAUAUAGUAUAGUUGGAGAUCCUAGUGAAACUUAUCUUAUUUCGAAGAUUAAGAUGCCACCUAAGAUAGAGUCAAGUGAUCCAUUGUACAUAGAAGCUUCAGAAGUGUCUGGAGCUACAUUGAUUCCAAUCAAACUCAUUGAUUUAGAAACCUAUGGAGUAUGGAGUAGAUUGAUGAGAAUUGCCUUGUUAGGAAAGAGGAAGUUUGGUUUUUUAAAUGGAACUUGUAGCAAGGAAAAUUACAAAGAACUGCAAUGCAAUUGCGCUCUCAUGGUCGAUGAGUUCUGUUAGUGCAGAGUUGUUAAGCGGAAUAGUGUAUGCAAUAGGUGAAUUUGAGGUGUGGGAAGAUCUAAAGGAGAGGUUUGAUAAGGUGAACCGUAUGAGAUUGUAUCAGCUGCAUAAUGAGAUAAAUACUCUGUCACAAGGAACUGAUUCUUUAGCAACUUCACAAAAUUGAAGAAUUUAUUGAAUGAAUAUGAUGCAGUGAUUCCAGCACCAUCAUGCAGUUGUCCAAAGUCAAAAGAAUGUGAAGAUCACUUGUAGGAAUUAAGGCUAAUUCAGUUUUUGAGUGGGCUAAAUGACUGAUAUGACUUAUCCAGGAGACAGGUUCUGCUGUUAAUGGAGGGUGAAAUGCAACACUUGACUUGGGCAGCUACUAUUACUGAGAAAAACAGAUCAUGUUUCAAUGCAAGUGAAUAGAGGAUCAAACACAUGUUAUGGACAUCAAGGAUACAAAGGAAGAAAGUGUACUUAAUGCAGUUUAGUGGACAUACUAGAGAGAAUUGCUACAAGUUGAUAGGCUAUCCAAAUGACUGGAAGCAACGGCAGAAGAACAACUAUAAUAAUGGAGGUUCUGGGGGAUAUAAUCAAGGAUAUGGAAGAAUCAAUGGACAUGAAAAUCAAUAUUCAUGUCAACUUAAUUCACAUACUAACUUUACUGAUGCAGGACAUCAUGAUUCAACUGGUCAUGAAGGCAGCAAAUAGAUCAACAAUGCAAUUUUGGCCAAGGGAUAAGCUUUCACUGAUUAAGAGUACAAGUAGAUCAUGGAGAUUUUGAACAAGGAUUCACAGGAUGUGAAGCAAGCAAACAUGUCGGAUAUAGCUGCAUGUUCACUAGCUCACAUUAAGUCACAACAAUGAAUAGUGGACUCUGGUGCUCUACUCAUCAUAUAGCUGUAAAUGAGACUCUGUUGUCUAGCAGUAAAGUAGUUAGGCCAAAAAUGGACAAGAUGAAUCUACCUAAUUGUGUUGAAGUUGAUAUUUCACAUACUGGUGAAGCUAUAAUCUUUUAGAAUGAAAUUAUGAAAGAUGUGUUGUUUGCGCCUGUAUCCAAGGCCACUAGACAACUGUCUUGCUUUAUAUCCUUUUACCCCGACUUUUGUGUAUUUCAGGACAUUUACAAUGGCAAAGUGAAGGGGAUUGACAGAGAAAAUGGAGGCUUGUACAUUCUGAGAAGUGACAGUGAAGGUAGUUGGUCAUAAGGUAGUUGCUCAUCAGAAGGGCAAAGGAAGCAAGAAAAUCUGGUAGCAGAAGUUACUAUGGACACCAGCCUUUGGCAUAGAAGACUUAGACAUCCAUCUGCUCAAGUAUUAAAGUCUCUAGAUCUUUUAAAUCAUAAUAAAGACAUAGAGUUGCUGAAUAAAUGUCACAUAUGUCCAUUAGCCAAAAAAACUAGGUUGACAUUUCCUAUUAGUGAUGCUAGAUCUACUGAUGCUUUGACAUUGUACAUAUGAAUCUUUGGUACCUUAUAAAACUCCAACCUUUGAUAAGAAGUUUUAUUUUCUAACAAUAGUGGAUGACUACAACAGA